This is a long non-coding RNA of Brassica napus (rape), 1341 nucleotides long. RefSeq lists it as uncharacterized. The record is from RefSeq and is a predicted model, not a curated record. NCBI's taxonomy places the organism in Eukaryota, Viridiplantae, Streptophyta, Magnoliopsida, Brassicales, Brassicaceae. The transcript has 2 exons.
AUAAAUGAAAGACUAGAGAAAGGAAAUACAAAUAUGGAAAUAGUACAAAUCAUAAACCAAGAGAUAAAAGGAAACUAGGGUUUGGCCGACUCUCUCUCUAGGCGCCGACUCUCUCUCUCUCUCUCUCAUGGCCGCCGACUCUCUCUAUCUCUAAGUAUGGGCCGGUUAUGGACAUCCACAAUAUGAUUUAUAACAAAGAUAGAUAUGUUUGCGUAAAAACGUUUAGUGGUUAAGCUAACGCGCUACAUUAAAGUUCAUCAAAUAUUUGGGGACCACUGGGACAAAAAAAUAUUCGUGGGUAGGAUUAGCAUUUUGAAGUUUAAACUUAUGAUUACUUCUAACAAAAUAAAGCUGUCAAGAUAUGAGACGAAUAACCCAUACUUUAAAUUAUAUAACCCAAAAGUAUAGAGGAAUAACGUAAUUGAUGAUCAAGACUCAAGAGUCAAACAGUUGCAAGAUGAAAUUGAUCAAUUGACAUUGGACCAACGUUGGGGCUUUAUGAGCAAUUGCAUAACUAAGACUUAUGGGCCUAUGUGUUGUUCUUGGAUCCGAAAAUUGCAUUUUUAUUCAUAUUUCGUUCGUUAAUCUGGUAAUAACAGGAUAACACACCGAAACAUCAAAAUCAUCAGAUCUUUUUUGUGUGGACGUCAAAAUUGUUUUUUUUUUUAACGUCAAAAUUGUUGAGAGGAUAAUGGAGAACACAAAACCCAUAAAAUGAAAAAUAUUAAGAAUCUUGAAGCUCCUAUCUAGGGAUGGCAAUUGAUGUACUGGACCGCGGACCUUCACAACCCGCAAAAUAACAGGCCUUGCGGGAUGAGUUUGUUCGGAACCGGGCUUGAAACGGGAAAGCCCGCAGCGAUGUGGCUAUUCACUGAGAGACGAAGGGGGUGAUGGUUUUAUACUGUUGACAACUAUACUUGCCUCUCGCCGUAAGGAGAUUGAUACUUGUCUCUUGAAACUUGGUCUUCAAACCACCAUCUAUAGCUUAUGGUGGGAGAGGAAAAGUAUACAGCACCAUGGUCACCCCCAGAGCGCAGGCCACAUGGUUCGUAUUAGUGAUAAGACCAUCAAGAACAUGAUCUCUUCUCUGCGAUGCCAACGGCCAUCUUUCUAUAGGAUAUGAUGCAACGUUGGCUUGGACACACACAUAGUCGAAAAUGCUCUGUUUCGUCGAUUGAUUGUGUUCAUUAUUGAAAACAUAAAUUUCAAAGGCCUGUAACUUUUAUUGUUGAUAGUCAAUUUAAAAUUUUAGCAAAAAAAGACAAUUGCACUGUUAUAUUUAUUUACAUUUUUAUGAUUAGCGUAUAUUUUUUAUAAGAUUCAUGGUUUUUAAUUGGUUAA